AGAGUUUGAUCCUGGCUCAGGAUGAACGCUAGCGGCAGGCCUAAUACAUGCAAGUCGAACGGUGAUAUUUAUAUCAUAGUGGCGCACGGGUGCGUAACACGUAUGCAACCUACCUAUUAUUGGGGGAUAGCCUUUGGAAACGGAGAUUAAUACCGCAUAAUACGAUUAACUGGCAUCGGUUGAUUGUUAAAGCAUUUGCGAUAAUAGAUGGGCAUGCGUCCAAUUAGCUAGUUGGUGUGGUAAUGGCUCACCAAGACGAUGAUUGGUAGGGGAUCUGGGAGGAUAAUCCCCCACACUGGCACUGAGAUACGGGCCAGACUCCCACGGGAGGCAGCAGUAGGGAAUAUUGGGCAGUGGGCGAAAGCCUGACCCAGCCAUGCCGCGUGCAGGAAGACGGCGUUAUGCGUUGUAAACUGCUUUUUUAUAGGAAGAAGGAUCCCUUGCGAGGGAAGGUGACGGUACUAUAAGAAUAAGCACCGGCUAACUCCGUGCCAGCAGCCGCGGUAAUACGGAGGGUGCAAGCGUUGUCCGGAUUUAUUGGGUUUAAAGGGUGCGUAGGCGGUUUAUUAAGUCAGUGGUGAAAGACGGUCGCUCAACGAUUGCAGUGCCAUUGAUACUGGUAGACUUGAGUGAG
RNAcentral lists this ribosomal RNA (634 nucleotides) under uncultured bacterium. Its description in RNAcentral is "bacterial SSU rRNA". It matches the Rfam family "Bacterial small subunit ribosomal RNA", at positions 8 to 650 of the family's 1533-position model. The record is from RNAcentral.